Molecule: ribosomal RNA, 253 nt
Filed under: uncultured prokaryote
Description: partial 16S ribosomal RNA
Rfam family: Bacterial small subunit ribosomal RNA
Source: RNAcentral
GACGGAGGGUGCAAGCGUUGUUCGGAAUUACUGGGCGUAAAGGGCGCGUAGGCGGUCUGCUAAGUUCGGUGUGAAAUCCCCGGGCUCAACCCGGGAACUGCGUCCGAUACUGGCAGGCUUGAAUCCGGGAGAGGGAUGCGGAAUUCCAGGUGUAGCGGUGAAAUGCGUAGAUAUCUGGAGGAACACCGGUGGCGAAGGCGGCAUCCUGGACCGGCAUUGACGCUGAGGCGCGAAAGCCAGGGGAGCAAACGGG